CGGGGCGCAGCAGGCGCGAAAACUUUACAAUGCGGGAAACCGCGAUAAGGGGACACCGAGUGCCAGCAUCCUAUGUUGGCUGUCCAUAUGUCUAAAUCACAUGUGUUAGCAAGGGCCGGGCAAGACCGGUGCCAGCCGCCGCGGUAACACCGGCGGCCCGAGUGGUGGCCACUAUUAUUGGGUCUAAAGGGUCCGUAGCCGGUUUGGUCAGUCUUCCGGGAAAUCUGACGGCUCAACCGUUAGGCUUUCGGGGGAUACUACCAGGCUUGGGACCGGGAGAGGUAAGAGGUACUACGGGGGUAGGAGUGAAAUCUUGUAAUCCCUGUGGGACCACCAGUGGCGAAGGCGUCUUACCAGAACGGGUCCGACGGUGAGGGACGAAAGCUGGGGGCACGAACCGGAUUAGAUACCCGGGUAGUCCCAGCUGUAAACUAUGCUCGCUAGGUGUCAGGGACGGUGCGACCGUUUCUGGUGCCGCAGGGAAGCCGUGAAGCGAGCCACCUGGGAAGUACGGUCGCAAGGCUGAAACU
RNAcentral lists this ribosomal RNA (530 nucleotides) under uncultured archaeon. RNAcentral describes it as "bacterial SSU rRNA". It matches the Rfam family "Archaeal small subunit ribosomal RNA", at positions 326 to 856 of the family's 1478-position model. The record is from RNAcentral.